AGAGUUUGAUCCUGGCUCAGAACGAACGCUGGCGGNAGGCUUAACACAUGCAAGUCGCGCGGGCGGGGGCUUCGGCUCCCAUCAGCGGCGGACGGGUGAGAAACGCGUAGGAACGUGUCCUGAGGUGGGGGACAACCCUGGGAAACCGGGGCUAAUACCGCAUGACCCCCGCGGNGGAAAGCAGCGAUGCGCCUUGGGAGCGGCCUGCGUCCGAUUAGCUAGUUGGCGGGGUAACGGCCCACCAAGGCUGCGAUCGGUAGCUGGUCUGAGAGGACGACCAGCCACACUGGGACUGAGACACGGGCCCGACUCCUACGGGAGGCAGCAGUAAGGAAUAUUGGUCAAUGGAGGCAACUCUGAACCAGCCAUGCCGCGUGAAGGAUGAAGGUCCUCUGGAUUGUAAACUUCUUUUAUGUGGGAAGAAACCGAUGCAAUCUUGUGUCGUUGACGGUACCAUAGGAAUAAGCACCGGCUAACUCCGUGCCAGCAGCCGCGGUAAUACGGAGGGUGCGAGCGUUAUCCGGAUUCACUGGGUUUAAAGGGUGCGUAGGUGGGAAUGUAAGUCAGUGGUGAAAUCUCUUGAGCUUAACUCAGAAACUGCCAUUGAUACUAUGUUUCUUGAAUUUUCUGGAGGUCAGCGGAAUAUGUCAUGUAGCGGUGAAAUGCUUAGAUAUGACAUAGAACACCAAUUGCGAAGGCAGCUGGCUACAGGGAUAUUGACACUGAGGCACGAAAGCGUGGGGAUCAAACAGGAUUAGAUACCCCGGUAGUCC
RNAcentral lists this ribosomal RNA (773 nucleotides) under uncultured Segetibacter sp. RNAcentral describes it as "bacterial SSU rRNA". It matches the Rfam family "Bacterial small subunit ribosomal RNA", at positions 8 to 796 of the family's 1533-position model. The record is from RNAcentral. Lineage: Bacteria; Pseudomonadati; Bacteroidota; Chitinophagia; Chitinophagales; Chitinophagaceae.